GUCCGUGAUGUGUUCGUUCUUACGACGAAAGGCAGAAUCCUGCAGCUCGAGAGAUAUGUUAUUCUGCCAGUCGCACUUUCAAAUAGUCUUGCACACUUAAACGGGUCACAAACACCUGCAUUUAGCUCUUGUUGUGUUACAAUGGGUUUAUUGUGUGCAUUUGUGGUAAUAUUUUAUUUAAAAAAGCUCUUAAACAAGAAUAAAUUCGUUUGUUUUGAGCUGGACACUGUACGCGCUGAUCGGAGGCGGUGAUUUCAGAUAGGCAGCUGCAAAUAUUUCAUUUUCACACAAACAGUUCAAAAACAUCUUAAUUUAGCUCUUGGUGUGUUCUAAUUGGUUGAUUGUGUGAUAUCGCUGUAAUAAUUUAUUUUUAAAAGCUUUAAAACAGAAAUAAAUUCGUUUUCUCUGAGCUCUUUACUCCAGACGCUCGUGAUCACAGCGGUGAUUAAUCUCUCCUAUUUCUCACGUAUCUCUGGCCAGAAAUAAUUUAUCCAUGAGCCCUGAACCGGUAAUAAUCAGAUAUGUUGGUUUAGCUUGUCAGUGUGAAUUAAAUCUAAGUAUUUGUUUGUAUUUUUAACCGAUUUAAAAGUGAAAGUAAAAGUCCGGGAAUUGAACCUGUAGGGGCGCUAUUUCUCUCAGACAAUGGAAGUCUGAAGCACAUAUACUCAAACAGAGGGACAGCGUGAGAUGAGAUGUCUGACAGUUUUUUAAUUUUCUGUUAUCCAUACAGUGUUGUAAAGUCGUGAAACUAUGCGUAUUUCCUCAGAAUGACUUUUUCAUCUGUAUGAAAAAAUUCUUUGACGUGUUUGGAAGCUGCAAUUUAAAAAUACAAUAAUGAUUCCCUUUGUAAGGUCAUUUCAAAAAAUCACCACGGCAAAACCAUUCAAGC
Carassius gibelio (silver crucian carp) is the source of this 889-nucleotide long non-coding RNA. RefSeq lists it as uncharacterized. The transcript has 3 exons. NCBI's taxonomy places the organism in Eukaryota, Metazoa, Chordata, Actinopteri, Cypriniformes, Cyprinidae. The record is from RefSeq and is a predicted model, not a curated record.